UCGAUGAUCCGCGGCUCCGCAGCGCAGGCACAAGCUGGAUCGAUCUUCACCAGCGCAGUCUGCUGUAGUGUGGCCGCGCUCCAAGCAACGG
Molecule: microRNA precursor, 91 nt
Filed under: Anopheles gambiae (African malaria mosquito)
Lineage: Eukaryota; Metazoa; Arthropoda; Insecta; Diptera; Culicidae
Description: microRNA aga-mir-10362 precursor
Source: miRBase by way of RNAcentral